RNAcentral lists this unclassified non-coding RNA (331 nucleotides) under soil metagenome. RNAcentral's name for it is "partial contains 5.8S ribosomal RNA, internal transcribed spacer 2, and large subunit ribosomal RNA". The stretch from base 1 to 120 matches the Rfam family "5.8S ribosomal RNA", at positions 35 to 154 of the family's 154-position model. The record is from RNAcentral.
GAUGAAGAACGCAGCGAAAUGCGAUAAGUAAUGUGAAUUGCAGAAUUCAGUGAAUCAUCGAAUCUUUGAACGCACAUUGAGCCCCCUGGUAUUCCGGGGGGCAUGCCUGUUCGAGCGUCAUUUCACCACUCAAGCCUCGCUUGGUAUUGGGCAACGCGGUCCGCCGCGUGCCUCAAAUCGACCGGCUGGGUCUUCUGUCCCCUAAGCGUUGUGGAAACUAUUCGCUAAAGGGUGUUCGGGAGGCUACGCCGUAAAACAACCCCAUUUCUAAGGUUGACCUCGGAUCAGGUAGGGAUACCCGCUGAACUUAAGCAUAUCAAUAAGCGGAGGA